This 916-nucleotide ribosomal RNA is filed under the name Staphylococcus aureus. RNAcentral's name for it is "partial 23S ribosomal RNA". It matches the Rfam family "Bacterial large subunit ribosomal RNA", at positions 2007 to 2925 of the family's 2925-position model. Lineage: Bacteria; Bacillati; Bacillota; Bacilli; Caryophanales; Staphylococcaceae. The record is from RNAcentral.
AUUUGGGCACUGUCUCAACGAGAGACUCGGUGAAAUCAUAGUACCUGUGAAGAUGCAGGUUACCCGCGACAGGACGGAAAGACCCCGUGGAGCUUUACUGUAGCCUGAUAUUGAAAUUCGGCACAGCUUGUACAGGAUAGGUAGGAGCCUUUGAAACGUGAGCGCUAGCUUACGUGGAGGCGCUGGUGGGAUACUACCCUAGCUGUGUUGGCUUUCUAACCCGCACCACUUAUCGUGGUGGGAGACAGUGUCAGGCGGGCAGUUUGACUGGGGCGGUCGCCUCCUAAAAGGUAACGGAGGCGCUCAAAGGUUCCCUCAGAAUGGUUGGAAAUCAUUCAUAGAGUGUAAAGGCAUAAGGGAGCUUGACUGCGAGACCUACAAGUCGAGCAGGGUCGAAAGACGGACUUAGUGAUCCGGUGGUUCCGCAUGGAAGGGCCAUCGCUCAACGGAUAAAAGCUACCCCGGGGAUAACAGGCUUAUCUCCCCCAAGAGUUCACAUCGACGGGGAGGUUUGGCACCUCGAUGUCGGCUCAUCGCAUCCUGGGGCUGUAGUCGGUCCCAAGGGUUGGGCUGUUCGCCCAUUAAAGCGGUACGCGAGCUGGGUUCAGAACGUCGUGAGACAGUUCGGUCCCUAUCCGUCGUGGGCGUAGGAAAUUUGAGAGGAGCUGUCCUUAGUACGAGAGGACCGGGAUGGACAUACCUCUGGUGUACCAGUUGUCGUGCCAACGGCAUAGCUGGGUAGCUAUGUGUGGACGGGAUAAGUGCUGAAAGCAUCUAAGCAUGAAGCCCCCCUCAAGAUGAGAUUUCCCAACUUCGGUUAUAAGAUCCCUCAAAGAUGAUGAGGUUAAUAGGUUCGAGGUGGAAGCAUGGUGACAUGUGGAGCUGACGAAUACUAAUCGAUCGAAGACUUAAUCAA